GUCCACGCCGUAAACGAUGGAUGCUAGCCGUCGGCAAGCUUGCUUGUCGGUGGCGCAGCUAACGCAUUAAGCAUCCCGCCUGGGGAGUACGGCCGCAAGGUUAAAACUCAAAGGAAUUGACGGGGGCCCCGCACAAGCGGUGGAGCAUGUGGUUUAAUUCGAUGCAACGCGAAGAACCUUACCAGCUCUUGACAUGCCCGGACGGUUUCCAGAGAUGGAUUCCUCCCAGCAAUGGGUCGGGACACAGGUGCUGCAUGGCUGUCGU
This 265-nucleotide ribosomal RNA is filed under the name uncultured bacterium. RNAcentral's name for it is "partial 16S ribosomal RNA". It matches the Rfam family "Bacterial small subunit ribosomal RNA", at positions 793 to 1055 of the family's 1533-position model. The record is from RNAcentral.